Molecule: non-coding RNA, 485 nt
Organism: Nannospalax galili (Upper Galilee mountains blind mole rat)
Lineage: Eukaryota; Metazoa; Chordata; Mammalia; Rodentia; Spalacidae
Source: the annotation of a RefSeq genome assembly
CAGCCCUGCACACCCAGGUGUUCCAUUCACUGAUCAACACUGAACACAGACUCACCAUGAAGUUUGGGCUGAGCUGGCUUUUCCUCGUUGCUCUUUUAAAAGGUGUCCAGUGUGAGGAGAAGCUGGUAGAGUCUGGGGGAGGCUUGGUGAAGCCUGGGGGAUCCCUGACCCUCUCCUGUGCAGCCUCUGGAUUUACCUUCAGCAGCUAUGCCAUGCACUGGGUCCGCCAGGCUCCAGGGAAGGGGCUGGAGUGGGUUGCAGCAAUAAUUUAUGAUGGAAGUGGUAAAUACUACCCAGACUCUGUGAAAGGCCGAUUCACCAUCUCCAGAGACAAUUCCAAGAACACCGUGUCCCUGCAAAUGAGCAGUUUGAGGUCUGAGGACACGGCCACGUAUUACUGUGCAAGAGACACAGUGAGGGGACUUCAGUGUGAGCCCAGACACAAACCUCCCUGCAGGGCACUCGGGACCAGCAGGGGGCGCUGA